RNAcentral lists this ribosomal RNA (526 nucleotides) under uncultured bacterium. Its description in RNAcentral is "partial 16S ribosomal RNA". It matches the Rfam family "Bacterial small subunit ribosomal RNA", at positions 355 to 874 of the family's 1533-position model. The record is from RNAcentral.
UGGGGAAUUUUGGACAAUGGGCGAAAGCCUGAUCCAGCAAUGCCGCGUGUGUGAAGAAGGCCUUCGGGUUGUAAAGCACUUUUGUCCGGAAAGAAAUCCUUGGCUCUAAUACAGUCGGGGGAUGACGGUACCGGAAGAAUAAGCACCGGCUAACUACGUGCCAGCAGCCGCGGUAAUACGUAGGGUGCAAGCGUUAAUCGGAAUUACUGGGCGUAAAGCGUGCGCAGGCGGUUUGCCAAGACCGAUGUGAAAUCCCCGGGCUCAACCUGGGAACUGCAUUGGUGACUGGCAGGCUAGAGUAUGGCAGAGGGGGGUAGAAUUCCACGUGUAGCAGUGAAAUGCGUAGAGAUGUGGAGGAAUACCGAUGGCGAAGGCAGCCCCCUGGGCCAAUACUGACGCUCAUGCACGAAAGCGUGGGGAGCAAACAGGAUUAGAUACCCUGGUAGUCCACGCCCUAAACGAUGUCAACUAGUUGUUGGGGAUUCAUUUCCUUAGUAACGUAGCUAACGCGUGAAGUUGACCGCCU